RNAcentral lists this long non-coding RNA (208 nucleotides) under Helianthus annuus (common sunflower). RNAcentral describes it as "sRNA HanXRQr2_Chr06g0244241". The record is from RNAcentral. Lineage: Eukaryota; Viridiplantae; Streptophyta; Magnoliopsida; Asterales; Asteraceae.
AUGUCUACCUUAAUUGCGUUACAAAUAAACGAUACUCAAGACAUCGGACUUCGUCGAGAUGGUACAUUUAUAGAGACGAUCGUGAAGCAUCUCAAGCACGACUAGUUAGAGGAUAUUUCAGCAAAGAUCAAACAUUCACACCCGAGAUGUUUCGCAGGCGAUUUCCAAUGUAUAAAGAUUUGUUUUUGUAAUCGUAGGUGAUUUUCAG